This is a long non-coding RNA of Pygocentrus nattereri (red-bellied piranha), 834 nucleotides long. RefSeq lists it as uncharacterized. Lineage: Eukaryota; Metazoa; Chordata; Actinopteri; Characiformes; Serrasalmidae. The record is from RefSeq and is a predicted model, not a curated record. The transcript has 4 exons.
CUGGUUGGCUGAGCUUCCUACCCAAGACUGUGAACAGGGCUGGGUCUAAAAGUACAGGCAGUAAAGGGCAGUACCGCUGUUUGUCCAGUAGACCAAGCAGGAGGACAGCACUGAUAUCAUGGAUGUAUUUUUGGUUGAACUGUUCACAGAGUGCCUGUGUGGGUUUGAAGAUUAAAGCUCCAUGAUGGAUCCUCAUAGUUCCAGCAGUGGAGGAGGAACCUCUGACCCAAAGGUAAAGCGUGCAGGAUCUCCAGAACCCAGCAGUUCGUCCGUGAAGAGGCGUUGGUCAAUGUCUGAGCCGGACAGCUUCAGCAGUGACGGAGGAGCCUCUGACCCAGGAUUGCAGACUGAGAGAGCAGGUUCUCCAAUGUCCAGUUCUGUGUCUAUGAAGAGUGACCAGUCCAUGGAGGUCCUGUUUUAGUUCAGCAGAGGGGCAGAAGAACCCAGCUCUGUGUCUAUGAAGAGUGACCAGUCCAUGGGGGUCCCGUUUCAGUUCUGCAGAGGGGCAGAAGAGCCCAGCUCUGUGUCUAUGAAGAGUGACCAGUCCAUGGGGGUCCCGUUUCAGUUCAGCAGAGGGGCAGAAGAGCCCAGCUCUGUGUCUAUGAAGAGUGACCAGUCCAUGGAGAUCCCAUUUAAGUUCAGCAGAAGAGCGCAGCUCUGUGUCUAUGAAGAGUGACCAGUCCAUGGGGGUCCCGUUUCAGUUCAGCAGUUCACCAGAUUCCACAGAAGCUGCACUGCAGACUCUUACACAUACACUGAGUACAGGGACUGGAGAGCUGCAGCAGGAUUCUUACCAACCAGUGGGUGAUGUCCUGCAGACAGUCUUAGAAAAAA